AAAGCUUUGAAUCAUCUGUUCUUAUCAGUUUAAUAUCUGAUAGGUCCCCUAUCUGGGGACCAUAUAUUAACUUCUUCGAUAUAGGGGGCGCUCUUUUAAUUUUUGGAUGAAAAACGUUCCCGUUUUAAACAAGAUAUUUUGUCACGAAAAGAUGCU
Molecule: small nuclear RNA, 156 nt
Filed under: Oncorhynchus kisutch (coho salmon)
Lineage: Eukaryota; Metazoa; Chordata; Actinopteri; Salmoniformes; Salmonidae
Description: U2 spliceosomal RNA (ENSOKIG00005044042.1)
Rfam family: U2 spliceosomal RNA
About the family: U2 is a small nuclear RNA (snRNA) component of the spliceosome (involved in pre-mRNA splicing). Complementary binding between U2 snRNA (in an area lying towards the 5' end but 3' to hairpin I) and the branchpoint sequence (BPS) of the intron results the bulging out of an unpaired adenosine, on the BPS, which initiates a nucleophilic attack at the intronic 5' splice site, thus starting the first of two transesterification reactions that mediate splicing.
Source: Rfam by way of RNAcentral